UAAGGAAUAUUGGUCAAUGGAGGCAACUCUGAACCAGCCAUGCCGCGUGCAGGAAGACAGCCCUCUGGGUCGUAAACUGCUUUUAUUCGGGAAUAAACCUUAUUACGUGUAAUAAGCUGAAUGUACCGAAGGAAUAAGGAUCGGCUAACUCCGUGCCAGCAGCCGCGGUAAUACGGAGGAUCCAAGCGUUAUCCGGAUUUAUUGGGUUUAAAGGGUGCGUAGGCGGCUUAUUAAGUCAGGGGUGAAAGACGGUGGCUCAACCAUCGCAGUGCCUUUGAUACUGAUGAGCUUGAAUGAACUAGAGGUAGGCGGAAUGUGACAAGUAGCGGUGAAAUGCAUAGAUAUGUCACAGAACACCGAUUGCGAAGGCAGCUUACUAUGGUUUUAUUGACGCUGAGGCACGAAAGCGUGGGGAUCAAACAG
RNAcentral lists this ribosomal RNA (423 nucleotides) under uncultured bacterium. RNAcentral's name for it is "bacterial SSU rRNA". It matches the Rfam family "Bacterial small subunit ribosomal RNA", at positions 355 to 775 of the family's 1533-position model. The record is from RNAcentral.